RNAcentral lists this long non-coding RNA (271 nucleotides) under Elaeis guineensis (African oil palm). RNAcentral describes it as "long non-coding RNA (EGUI_LNC081914)". The record is from RNAcentral. Lineage: Eukaryota; Viridiplantae; Streptophyta; Magnoliopsida; Arecales; Arecaceae.
CUCAGGCCAAUCAUCUGUUUGUAAAUGAUUGUGUUAUUUAUAAAUUGUAUAUGAAUUAUUAAUUAAUAAAAGUUAUUUGAUAUUUUUAUUAUAAAUUAUGCAUCUUCUUUAUUGAACUUCUGUGUUAUGAUGAAGUCUUUGAAACUACUUUCAAUCGAUAAAGAAAGAUUUAUCAUAUAGUUUUUAAAUUUAUUCAUGAUCAAACGAUACGUUAUUACUAGGACAAUAACAUUUAUCAAGUAUAGAUUGUUGUGUACCAUAUGGAUUGGUU